ACGAACGCUGGCGGCGUGCCUCAUACAUGCAAGUAGAACGCACAGUUUAUACCGUAGCUUGCUACACCAUAGACUGUGAGUUGCGAACGGGUGAGUAACGCGUAGGUAACCUGCCUGGUAGCGGGGGAUAACUAUUGGAAACGAUAGCUAAUACCGCAUAAUAUUAAUUAUUGCAUGAUAAUUAAUUGAAAGGUGCAAUUGCACCACUACCAGAUGGACCUGCGUUGUAUUAGCUAGUAGGUGAGGUAACGGCUCACCUAGGCGACGAUACAUAGCCGACCUGAGAGGGUGAUCGGCCACACUGGGACUGAGACACGGCCCAGACUCCUACGGGAGGCAGCAGUAGGGAAUCUUCGGCAAUGGACGAAAGUCUGACCGAGCAACGCCGCGUGAGUGAAGAAGGGUUUCGGAUCGUAAAGCUCUGUUGUAAGAGAAGAACGGGUGUGAGAGUGGAAAGUUCACACUGUGACGGUAUCUUACCAGAAAGGGACGGCUAACUACGUG
Molecule: ribosomal RNA, 504 nt
Filed under: uncultured bacterium
Lineage: Bacteria
Description: partial 16S ribosomal RNA
Rfam family: Bacterial small subunit ribosomal RNA
Source: RNAcentral